CCAUCCCUCAGUUGGUAGAGCACAAGGCUCUUAACCUUGUGGACAUGGAUUCAAGCCCCAUGAUGGG
Molecule: transfer RNA, 67 nt
Filed under: Triticum aestivum (bread wheat)
Lineage: Eukaryota; Viridiplantae; Streptophyta; Magnoliopsida; Poales; Poaceae
Also listed under: 1 other name
Rfam family: tRNA
About the family: Transfer RNA (tRNA) molecules are approximately 80 nucleotides in length. Their secondary structure includes four short double-helical elements and three loops (D, anti-codon, and T loops). Further hydrogen bonds mediate the characteristic L-shaped molecular structure. tRNAs have two regions of fundamental functional importance: the anti-codon, which is responsible for specific mRNA codon recognition, and the 3' end, to which the tRNAs corresponding amino acid is attached (by aminoacyl-tRNA synthetases). tRNAs cope with the degeneracy of the genetic code in two manners: having more than one tRNA (with a specific anti-codon) for a particular amino acid; and 'wobble' base-pairing, i.e. permitting non-standard base-pairing at the 3rd anti-codon position.
Source: Rfam by way of RNAcentral